This 230-nucleotide ribosomal RNA is filed under the name uncultured Alicycliphilus sp. RNAcentral describes it as "partial 16S ribosomal RNA". It matches the Rfam family "Bacterial small subunit ribosomal RNA", at positions 550 to 774 of the family's 1533-position model. The record is from RNAcentral. Lineage: Bacteria; Pseudomonadati; Pseudomonadota; Betaproteobacteria; Burkholderiales; Comamonadaceae.
AGCUGAUCAUUGGGUGUAAAGCGUGCGCAGGCGGUUUUGUAAGACAGAGGUGAAAUCCCCGGGCUCAACCUGGGAACUGCCUUUGUGACUGCAAGGCUGGAGUGCGGCAGAGGGGGACGGAAUUCCGCGUGUAGCAGUGAAAUGCGUAGAUAUGCGGAGGAACACCGAUGGCGAAGGCAAUCCCCUGGGCCUGCACUGACGCUCAUGCACGAAAGCGUGGGGAGCAAACA